This 481-nucleotide ribosomal RNA is filed under the name uncultured bacterium. RNAcentral's name for it is "partial 16S ribosomal RNA". It matches the Rfam family "Bacterial small subunit ribosomal RNA", at positions 28 to 506 of the family's 1533-position model. The record is from RNAcentral.
GACGAACGCUGGCGGCGUGCCUAACACAUGCAAGUCGAACGGAACUGUUUUGAAAGAUUUCUUCGGAAUGAAUUUGAUUUAGUUUAGUGGCGGACGGGUGAGUAACGCGUGAGUAACCUGCCUUCAAGAGGGGAAUAACAUUCUGAAAAGAAUGCUAAUACCGCAUGACAUAUCGGAACCACAUGGUUUUGAUAUCAAAGAUUUUAUCGCUUGAAGAUGGACUCGCGUCCGAUUAGUUAGUUGGUGAGGUAACGGCUCACCAAGACCGCGAUCGGUAGCCGGGAUGGGGGGGUGGAACGGCACCUUUGGACUGGGGCCCCGCCCCGAACUCCUCCGGAGGGCGGAGUGGGGGAUAAUGCGCCAUGGGGGCAACCCUGACGCAGCAACGCCGCGUGAAGGAUGAAGGUUUUCGGAUUGUAAACUUCUUUUAUUAAGGACGAAAAAUGACGGUACUUAAUGAAUAAGCUCCGGCUAACUACGU